CCCUUAGAUGUCCUGGGCCGCACGCGCGUUACACUGAUGCAUUCAACGAGCUUAUAACCUUGGCCGAGAGGCCUGGGCAAUCUUGUUAACGUGCAUCGUGAUAGGGAUGGAUUAUUGAAAUUAUUAAUCUUGAACGAGGAAUUCCUAGUAAACGCAGAUCAUCAAUCUGCAUUGAUUACGUCCCUGCCCUUUGUACACACCGCCCGUCGCACCUACCGAUUGGAUGGUCCGGUGAAGCCUCGGGAUUGUGGUUCUUGCCGCUUUAUUGUGGCGUGACCGCGAGAACUUGUCUAAACCUUAUCAUCUAGAGGAAGGUGAAGUCGUAACA
This 328-nucleotide ribosomal RNA is filed under the name uncultured eukaryote. Its description in RNAcentral is "partial 18S ribosomal RNA". It matches the Rfam family "Eukaryotic small subunit ribosomal RNA", at positions 1470 to 1796 of the family's 1831-position model. The record is from RNAcentral.